CAUGAAUUUAUUAAAAUCACAGACCUUGGUGUACAUGAAUAAAAACGUAAACAUAACAAAAUAUUUAAACAUAUACUAAAUGCAUUCUUAAUUCUAUAUUUUUACCAGAGCAAACGUAAAAGUAUCACAAACAUUGACACAUAGAAAUCAAAGAGCAUGUUGAUCUACAAAAUUUACCUAGUAAUAUCAUUCUGGCAGAGGAGAAAGAUCAGAGCAAAGGAUGAAAUAUUGAGUAAGCACAUGAUACAAGUUUACAUUGCAUAGGAAAAAAAGUCUACAUUAGUCUAGAUAUAACUUCAGAUAAUCUUCUUUAAAUUUCUUAAAUUCAAUCUACAACUUGAACACUUUCAAAGGGAACUUCAAAGGUAACUUCAAAGGUCACCAACAGGUAACUUCAAAGGUAACUUCAAAGGUAAUCAACAGGUAACUUCAAAAAUAAAUAACAGUUAACUUCAAAGGUAACCAACAGUUAAUCAACAGGUAACUUCAAAGGUAACCAACGGGUAACUUCAAAUGUAACCAAUAGAUAUCUUCAAAGGUAAUCGACAUGUAACUUCAAAGGUAGCCAACAGGUAACUUCAAAGGUCACCAACAGGUAACUUCAAAGGUAAUCGGCAGGUAACUUCAAAGGUAACCAACAGGUAACUUCAAAUGUAACCAACAGGUAACUUCAAAUGUAACCAACAGGUAACUUCAAAGGCAACCAAUAGGUAACUUCAAAGGUAAUUGACAUGUCACUUCAAAGGCAACCAUCAGGUAACUUCAAAGGCAACCGACAGGUAAAGUCUUACACAUUUACAUCCAUAUUACUUCAUAUAUGUUGCAGAUUCUCAUUAGACCUAAAUGCUUUAACAGUGUUUAUAUAUAUGGACAUCUGUAGGUCCAACUUUGAAAUCCAAGGGUUCCAUCCUUGUCCUGUUAGCAACAAUAAAAUAUCUGUCAUGUUAUUAUCUGAUUUCUCCAUCCAACAGUUUUUGCCUCCGUGGACAUAAUUGCACUGAUGAUUUUAAAACUAGAUUAACAUAUUUUUUGUAACAGUAUAUAUAUAUAUAGGUAGGUAAAAGUUCAUUACUUAUAACAAUUUCAUUAUAUAAAACUUAACAAGAGAAAUAUAAAUUUUGUGUAAAAGCAUUUAAAGACAAUUUUAAAUUGGUUAUUUGGGACCUACAUGUAGUAAUGGACAUGUACGAAGAGUCGAGUAUAUAAUAUUAAAGACUGAACAAGAUAAUACAUUGUAAAUGUAAAAUUGGUCUAUUGAUGUUUAUUGACCCCCCCCCCCCC
This is a long non-coding RNA of Pecten maximus, 1281 nucleotides long. RefSeq lists it as uncharacterized. The record is from RefSeq and is a predicted model, not a curated record. Lineage: Eukaryota; Metazoa; Mollusca; Bivalvia; Pectinida; Pectinidae. The transcript is spliced from 2 exons.